Molecule: transfer RNA, 77 nt
Filed under: Ruminococcus callidus
Lineage: Bacteria; Bacillati; Bacillota; Clostridia; Eubacteriales; Oscillospiraceae
Also listed under: 7 other names
Description: tRNA-Ile
Rfam family: tRNA
About the family: Transfer RNA (tRNA) molecules are approximately 80 nucleotides in length. Their secondary structure includes four short double-helical elements and three loops (D, anti-codon, and T loops).
Source: RNAcentral
GGGCCAUUAGCUCAGUUGGUUAGAGCAACCGGCUCAUAACCGGUCGGUCCUGGGUUCGAGUCCCCGAUGGCCCACCA